This 76-nucleotide transfer RNA is filed under the name Slackia heliotrinireducens. RNAcentral describes it as "tRNA-Thr(cgt)". It matches the Rfam family "tRNA". Rfam says of the family: Transfer RNA (tRNA) molecules are approximately 80 nucleotides in length. Their secondary structure includes four short double-helical elements and three loops (D, anti-codon, and T loops). RNAcentral also lists the same sequence under 5 other names. Lineage: Bacteria; Bacillati; Actinomycetota; Coriobacteriia; Eggerthellales; Eggerthellaceae. The record is from RNAcentral.
GCCGAUGUGGCUCAGUUGGUAGAGCAACGCACUCGUAAUGCGUAGGUCACCGGUUCGAGUCCGGUCAUCGGCUCCA